This 708-nucleotide ribosomal RNA is filed under the name uncultured Providencia sp. RNAcentral's name for it is "bacterial SSU rRNA". It matches the Rfam family "Bacterial small subunit ribosomal RNA", at positions 794 to 1502 of the family's 1533-position model. The record is from RNAcentral. Lineage: Bacteria; Pseudomonadati; Pseudomonadota; Gammaproteobacteria; Enterobacterales; Morganellaceae.
GUCACGCUGUAAACGAUGUCGAUUUGGAGGUUGUUCCCUUGAGGAGUGGCUUCCGGAGCUAACGCGUUAAAUCGACCGCUGGGGAGUACGGCCGCAAGGUUAAAACUCAAAUGAAUUGACGGGGGCCCGCACAAGCGGUGGAGCAUGUGGUUUAAUUCGAUGCAACGCGAAGAACCUUACCUACUCUUGACAUCCAGAGAAUUUAGCAGAGAUGCUUUAGUGCCUUCGGGAACUCUGAGACAGGUGCUGCAUGGCUGUCGUCAGCUCGUGUUGUGAAAUGUUGGGUUAAGUCCCGCAACGAGCGCAACCCUUAUCCUUUGUUGCCAGCACGUUAUGGUGGGAACUCAAAGGAGACUGCCGGUGAUAAACCGGAGGAAGGUGGGGAUGACGUCAAGUCAUCAUGGCCCUUACGAGUAGGGCUACACACGUGCUACAAUGGCGUAUACAAAGAGAAGCGACCUCGCGAGAGCAAGCGGAACUCAUAAAGUACGUCGUAGUCCGGAUUGGAGUCUGCAACUCGACUCCAUGAAGUCGGAAUCGCUAGUAAUAGUAGAUCAGAAUGCUACGGUGAAUACGUUCCCGGGCCUUGUACACACCGCCCGUCACACCAUGGGAGUGGGUUGCAAAAGAAGUAGGUAGCUUAACCUUCGGGAGGGCGCUUACCACUUUGUGAUUCAUGACUGGGGUGAAGUCGUAACAAGGUAACCA